RNAcentral lists this unclassified non-coding RNA (683 nucleotides) under Hevea brasiliensis (rubber tree). Lineage: Eukaryota; Viridiplantae; Streptophyta; Magnoliopsida; Malpighiales; Euphorbiaceae. The record is from RNAcentral.
AUUAAUUUAGAGAUGGUGAGAACACCUUGCCGCGACGAAAAUGGUCGUAAAAAGGGUACUUGGACACCUGAAGAAGAUAGAAAAUUAGCAGCUUAUAUUACUAAAUAUGGAUCAUGGAAUUGGAGACAACUACCCAAGUAUGCUGGCUUAGCAAGGUGUGGAAAGAGUUGUAGACUUCGAUGGAUGAAUUACUUAAGGCCAAAUGUUAAAAGAGGAAACUACACAAAAGAAGAAGAUGAAAUCAUCUUGAACCUCCAUGCUCAACUUGGAAAUAAGUGGUCAGCAAUUGCAAUUCACUUACCAGGAAGGUCAGAUAACGAGAUAAAGAAUCAUUGGCACACAGCACUGAAGAAGCGCGCUCAUUAUAACUCAAGUGAAGUAAGCAAGAAAUGCAAUAAGAAGAAGAGUGAAAGUAAUAUUACUAAAAGAAAGAGUAAUGUGGAAAAUCAAAAUGCAAGUGCUAAUAACAUUAAUAAUAAUAUGCAUGAGAAUAUAGUAUUGGAAAGCUCAGAAUGGUCACCAAAUGAGUCAUCAAGUGAAGCAUUAUCCUCUAUUGAUUAUCAACAAGACAUUUUUCAAGAAGAAUUGGCUAAUUUGGAGGAAAUUACAAGUGGAAGUUUUUGGACACAACCAUUUGAAGUGGAUACUAAAAUUGAUUUUGUAGCUCCUCCAAUUGAUUAUUG